GGUUGCCCUGGAAACGUUGGCUCGCGGCUGGGGGACAAUGGGACCCGCGUCCUUGUGCGUGUCCCGCCGCCUGGAAGCCGAGGACGUCAUCGACGAGCUUGACGAUUCCUAUUGGCUGCUUCGGGCAAGUUCCACCUUCUAUUGUGAACGUCACAACGCGGAAGUUGUUCAGUGAGCUGCAGACUGAAAUUUCCUCCUCUGUGCAAGCUCUGGGAGCAAUGUCUCUGCUCCUUUUCAUUUCUUCAUCCUGGGAGGGAGAGGGAGAACACUGAUCACUUGCCGCAAUUGAAGUGAGUCCAGAUUGAGAAUAUUGGAGACGUUGCAGACAACCUCCAGCUUAAUAUCACGCCAAGAUCCAAGAGAGAGAAACAGACAGUCACUCGAUUCACUGGAACUUGAAUGUCACUGGCCUUUGAAUCGAGAAGGGCAAACAGUUGCCUGUCCUGGAUAUGUUAAACAUAAGUGUGCCUGGAAAAGCACUGAGAGACGGACAUAUCCAAUUGAGGGUGCUCCCAGCUCAUGGACUGUGGGAAAAGCUUUUAACUACGUGGCCUGAAAAACUGUAUACUGUGAGCCACUGGUGUGGAAAAUCUGUGACAGAACAAGAGUUCUCAACUCAUCGUUGAAACUGACGCAACAGCCGCACCAUGGAGAAACCGUGGAAGUGCGGGCACUUUGGGAAGGGCUUCAAAUCGCCCUCUAAGCUGGAGAUCCAAGGACUCAGUCACACGGGGGAAGAGGCCGUUUGCAUGCCAGUGCGGGAAGGAAUUCAGCUAGUUGUCCAACCUUCGCAAGCACCGGAGAGUGGCUGCACGCUUGCCCGGACUGCGGGAAAGGAUUCAGCGAUUUCUGCAACUUGCUGACCCACUGGCGGGUGCAGACAGGCGAGAGACCAUUCCCUUGCCCCGUGUGUGGGAAGGAGUUCGGCGAUGCUUCCAACCUGUUCGGUCACCAGCGAGUUCACAAGUGAUGACCGGGGCGGGGGUUGGAGUUUGGAUUUUGCUGUCAAUCACGUCCAGGACUGAACCACCUUCUGACAGGUAGAGGGCUUCUUUCUUUCUGCUGGACUGCCCACUCCUUCCCCCACCGCCUUCACUUCCAGUGGGGUUGGUGGGGCUGGUGCUUCUUUGAGCAACUCCCACACCCCCCCAAACAAAAGCACAGCCACACCGAAAAGGGGAGCAAAGUCAAUUACCCAUCCAACUUGUGGUGGUAGAGUCACACCGGGGCAUUGGGUUGGGGUUGGGGGUGGUGGGGGAGAGGCCGUUCACCUGCUCUGCACCUGAGAAGACAUUCCUGCUGGCCCACCAGCGAGUUCACACCAGAGAGGGGCCCUGAGCUUUGCCGGAGUUAGUCAUCCCACACAGCGAUACGUCAGUGAGUUCACUCUGAUGUCAAAGAGUAAUACAGCAUGGAAACAGGCCCUUUGGCCCAAACUGCCCACUCAGCUAGUUCCAAUUGCCCGCAUUUGGUCCAUAUCCCUCUCAACCCUUCCCAUCCAUUAAACAAUCCAAAUGGUUUUUAAAUGUUGCUGUUGUAUCUGCCUCAACCACUUUCUCUGGCAGCCCAUUCUAUAUACGCAUCACUCUCUGCAUGAAGAAGUUGCCUCUCAGGUCCUUCUUAAAUUUUUCCUCUUUCACCUUAAACCUAUGCCCUCCAGUUUUCAAUUCCUCAUCCCUGGGAAAAAGACUACAUGCAUUCAUCCUAUCUGUGCCCCUCAUGAUAUUAUGCAUCUCAAUAUGAACACCCCUCAUUCUCCUAUGUUUCAAGGAUAAAAGUCCCAUCCUGGCCAACCUCUCCCUAUAAGACCCUUUAAAUUGGGAAGGCUCAUGUGCCACCUACAGAAAUGAGAAGAAUCGACUUACCUCCUCCCAGAAGGUUGCGAAUCCGUGCAGCUGACUGCCCCAGAGCACAACGGAGGCAGAAUCAAUCAACAGAUCCAAGACAGAAAUAGAUCUGUUUCUCAGGGGGAGCAGACACGAAAGUGGAACUGAGACCAGGAUAAGAUCAGCUACGAUCAUGUUAAAUGAAAUCUGAAACACAACCAGCAAUGGCUGGAGAAACUCAGCAGCAGCCACAGGGAGAGAAAGCAGAGUUAAUGUUUCAGAUCCGGUGACCCUUCCUCGGAACUGAUGUACCAUCAACGUGGUCACACGGAGAGACGGUUCAGGUGAUUAUCUACCCUCACGGGGUGGGGGCGGUGGUGAGGAGAGGAAGAGAUCUUUUAAAUAUCCAGAAUAUAAGAAAUGCUUGGGAAGUCGGACUGGACUGAUGUCCCAUCUACCUGUUCACGCUGAUCAAAGACCACUCAGGAAUGGGUUCAGGCCAUCAUCGAGCCUCACUGCACAGCAGUGAAUUUGCACUGGAGGGGGCGGGGUGCACGUGUGCUUGUGUGUGCUGUGUUUGUGUGUUGUGUGUAUGUGUAUAUAUUCAGCUGCUCUGGAGUGUGGGAAGGGAUUCACCAGCUCAUCCCACCUGCCAGGAACUGGGAAUUCCAUUGUUAUUAAAAUCCAGAUCACAACUGCAUUCACUGGAGUCUGGUUCUGCUGAUCAACUUCCCACGUGCUCACAGGGUGGGAGAGUAAACCUGCCAGACCUUGAAGAUAGGAAGAGGACUGUCGCUUGUGUGGUCUUCAGGGGGCCACCCAGACUUGUUUUCUCACCUACAUUGAGUCCUGGGGAUUCAGCAUGGAGCCUUUGAUUCAGAAUAAUCUUACAAUCAGGGACUUUGCCCCAUCCAACUUUUCACCAUCACACUGGAGUGCUGUGGAAUCUGAGAUAGAACUCCUAGUACCAAUGUCGCCAUAGUCCCUAACUGAUAGAAGGCAGUACAAGACUGUCGUUUGUGUGUGCAUGCGCGUUUUACACAGUUUAAGAUUUACUUAUUAGUUUGCAUCUGACUAAUAUAGGUCAAUUAAGCAAAUAAAUUUACUUCCUAUUAAAA
This is a long non-coding RNA of Rhincodon typus (whale shark), 2944 nucleotides long. RefSeq lists it as uncharacterized. The record is from RefSeq and is a predicted model, not a curated record. Lineage: Eukaryota; Metazoa; Chordata; Chondrichthyes; Orectolobiformes; Rhincodontidae. The transcript is spliced from 3 exons.